Molecule: ribosomal RNA, 253 nt
Filed under: uncultured bacterium
Lineage: Bacteria
Description: partial 16S ribosomal RNA
Rfam family: Bacterial small subunit ribosomal RNA
Source: RNAcentral
UACGUAGGGUGCAAGCGUUAAUCGGAAUUACUGGGCGUAAAGCGUGCGCAGGCGGUUUUGUAAGUCUGUCGUGAAAUCCCCGGGCUCAACCUGGGAAUUGCGAUGGAGACUGCAAGGCUGGAGUCUGGCAGAGGGGGGUAGAAUUGCACGUGUAGCAGUGAAAUGCGUAGAGAUGUGGAGGAACACCGAUGGCGAAGGCAGCCCCCUGGGUCAAGACUGACGCUCAUGCACGAAAGCGUGGGGAGCAAACAGG